This 492-nucleotide ribosomal RNA is filed under the name uncultured bacterium. RNAcentral's name for it is "partial 16S ribosomal RNA". It matches the Rfam family "Bacterial small subunit ribosomal RNA", at positions 29 to 507 of the family's 1533-position model. The record is from RNAcentral.
AGUGAACGCUGGCGGUAGGCCUAAAACAUGCAAGUCGAACGGCAGCACAGUAAGAGCUUGCUCUUACGGGUGGCGAGUGGCGGACGGGUGAGGAAUACAUCGGAAUCUACUUUUUCGUGGGGGAUAACGUAGGGAAACUUACGCUAAUACCGCAUACGACCUACGGGUGAAAGCAGGGGAUCUUCGGACCUUGCGCGAUUGAAUGAGCCGAUGUCGGAUUAGCUAGUUGGCGGGGUAAAGGCCCACCAAGGCGACGAUCCGUAGCUGGUCUGAGAGGCUGAUCAGCCACACUGGAACUGAGACACGGUCCAGACUCCUACGGGAGGCAGCAGGGGGGAAUAUUGGGCAAUGGGGGCAAGCCUGAUCCAGCCAUACCGCGUGGGUGAAGAAGGCCGUCGGGUUGUAAAGCCCUUUUGUUGGGAAAGAAAAGCAGCAGGUUAAUACCCCGCUGUUCUGACGGUACCCAAAGAAUAAGCACCGGCUAACUUCGUG